CCUACGGGAGGCAGCAGUGGGGAAUUUUGGACAAUGGGCGCAAGCCUGAUCCAGCAAUGCCGCGUGAGUGAAGAAGGCCUUCGGGUUGUAAAGCUCUUUUGUCAGGGAAGAAACGGCUGAGGCUAAUAUCCUCGGCUAAUGACGGUACCUGAAGAAUAAGCACCGGCUAACUACGUGCCAGCAGCCGCGGUAAUACGUAGGGUGCAAGCGUUAAUCGGAAUUACUGGGCGUAAAGCGUGCGCAGGCGGUUUUGUAAGUCUGUCGUGAAAGCCCCGGGCUUAACCUGGGAAUUGCGAUGGAGACUGCAAGGCUUGAAUCUGGCAGAGGGGGGUAGAAUUCCACGUGUAGCAGUGAAAUGCGUAGAGAUGUGGAGGAACACCGAUGGCGAAGGCAGCCCCCUGGGUCAAGAUUGACGCUCAUGCACGAAAGCGUGGGGAGCAAACAGGAUUAGAUACCCUGGUAGUCCACGCCCUAAACGAUGUCUACUAGUUGUCGGGUCUUAAUUGACUUGGUAACGCAGCUAACGCGUGAAGUAGACCGCCUGGGGAGUANGGUCGCAAGNUUAAAACUCAAAGGAAUUGACGG
RNAcentral lists this ribosomal RNA (585 nucleotides) under uncultured bacterium. Its description in RNAcentral is "bacterial SSU rRNA". It matches the Rfam family "Bacterial small subunit ribosomal RNA", at positions 338 to 916 of the family's 1533-position model. The record is from RNAcentral.